Molecule: ribosomal RNA, 307 nt
Filed under: uncultured bacterium
Lineage: Bacteria
Description: bacterial SSU rRNA
Rfam family: Bacterial small subunit ribosomal RNA
Source: RNAcentral
AACGAACGCUGGCGGCAUGCCUAAUACAUGCAAGUCGAACGAGAAAGCCUUCGGGUGAGUAGAGUGGCGCACGGGUGAGGAACGCGUGGGUAAUUUGCCUUCUAGCCUGGGAUAACCUGCUGAAAGGCGGGCUAAUACCGGAUAAGCUUACGAAUCGCUUAGGUUUUGUAAGAAAAGGCACUAGUGGUCACUAGAAGAGAAGCCCGCGUCCCAUUAGCUUGUAGGUGAGGUAACGGCUCACCUAGGCUGCGAUGGGUAGCUGGUCUGAGAGGGUGAUCAGCCACACUGGAACUGAAACACGGUCCAG